RNAcentral lists this long non-coding RNA (1394 nucleotides) under Homo sapiens (human). Its description in RNAcentral is "HSALNT0173082". Lineage: Eukaryota; Metazoa; Chordata; Mammalia; Primates; Hominidae. The record is from RNAcentral.
GAUAAAUAAAGAAAAAAUCUAAAUUCAAUGGUUUCAAUUGAUGCUUAAAGACUAUUUUCAUCAAAACUACCAGAGUUUCCUGUAUCUUCAGACUUGGGGCUACUGGUGUUGACAAUAACUCCUACUAAGAAAAUAAUCAUCUAGAAGACUGUCCUAUCUUACAAAAUUAAAGAGAGGACUAGAACACACAAGGAAGAAAGCAAGAUAAUACAUAAAAGGGUACAGGAGUUAAUAGGCACUUCAUUUUACAAUCUUGCUUCUAUAGUUUCUUUAUACUUCUUAUGGUAAGAGUCCCUAGGAAGAAUAUCCACUUUUUUAAGACCUGAGCUUGCCAAGCCAAUGCCAAUCUUUCAUAGAACUUCCUCUGAUCACUAUACUGUGCCAUAAAAUUACUGACAUAUCUGGAGUCUUAUUAGUUAUCAGAUAUACUUUUUCACAGUAGUUCUGAUUUAGUUUCAAAUGACAUAUUUGAGUUGUUAACAUAUGAUGUGCUUUUAGCCAUAUAAUUUGAACAGUAGAGCGAUUUACUUGUACAUUGGAAGGUUACCUUAUUGGAAGGUUACCCUGGUCAUUACCAAUAGGAGCCAGGACUAUAGGAAGCAAGCACCUGGAGUGGUCUUUUUUCCAGGCCAGUCACUACUACAACACUUAUUAGGAGGAGCUAAAAAUGUGCUCUACCAGGCAAUUCUUACCAGUCACCUGUGUCCAAUCCCCUCUUCUCUGUCAAGGUAUUUGUAUAUCCACUACAGUCUUAAUAGUUUAACUGUUUUAUUUCUUCAGGCUGUGAAUCCUUGCAAUUCAGAGAUGAAAGAAGCAGCACGAAAACUAAUUUUGCUGUUAUUCAUGUCUAGUCUGACUUCUCUACACAAAAGUCCAUUUAAAAAAAAAUCUUGAUUUAACCUUUAAAUAUAGGACAUAAAUUUCCAAAUAGAAAACGUUAUGUUAGGUAUUUUAGAAUUCAAAAGGUAAUUGUUAAAUAUCUUGCGAGAGAAAAUGUAUAGUGAUGUUUAAAAAUUUAAUAUAUAUGUAUAGGAUAUAUAUGUGUGUCAGAAAAUGUAUUAAUGAAUUGAAUCCUUUGCUUAACUUCUGGAAAUUGAGAACAUAUACAUAUAUAUGAGUGUGUGUGUAUUUAUUUAUAUUUUCAUAUUUGCCAGCCUAAGAACUACACUUAGAAUGAGAGAUGGAAUUGAGAGAUGUUGAGAUGAAUUGUUUAAGGUCACACAGCACAAAACCAAUUAAAGUCAAGGCAAGGAUGAGGACCCAAGACUGGCUUAUGUCCUACCAAGUGCUUUAUUCACUCUGUAAAUGAUUGCUAAACAUAUUGAACAUGUAGAAAUAUUUAUUAUAAAAAUUUAUUAGGCAUAAUUUAAUAAGCAAAUCUGUUUCAUUUAUUA